CUACGGGAGGCAGCAGUGGGGAAUAUUGCACAAUGGGCGAAAGCCUGAUGCAGCAACGCCGCGUGAGUGAAGAAGGCCUUCGGGUUGUAAAGCUCUGUCUUUUGGGACGAUAAUGACGGUACCAAAGGAGGAAGCCACGGCUAACUACGUGCCAGCAGCCGCGGUAAUACGUAGGUGGCAAGCGUUGUCCGGAUUUACUGGGCGUAAAGGAUGCGUAGGUGGAUAUUUAAGUGGGAUGUGAAAUACCCGGGCUCAACUUGGGUGCUGCAUUCCAAACUGGAUAUCUAGAGUGCAGGAGAGGAAAGUGGAAUUCCUAGUGUAGCAGUGAAAUGCGUAGAUAUUAGGAGGAACACCAGUGGCGAAGGCGGCUUUCUGGACUGUAACUGACACUGAGGCAUGAAAGCGUGGGGAGCAAACAGGAUUAGAUACCCGAGUAGUCC
Molecule: ribosomal RNA, 440 nt
Filed under: uncultured bacterium
Lineage: Bacteria
Description: bacterial SSU rRNA
Rfam family: Bacterial small subunit ribosomal RNA
Source: RNAcentral